GGGGCUGAUUCUGGAUUCGACGGGAUUUGCGAAACCCAAGGUGCAUGCCGAGGGGCGGUUGGCCUCGUAAAAAGCCGCAAAAAAAUAGUCGCAAACGACGAAAACUACGCUUUAGCAGCUUAAUAACCUGCUUAGAGCCCUCUCUCCCUAGCCUUCGCUCUUAGGACGGGGAUCAAGAGAGGUCAAACCCAAAAGAGAUCGCGCGGAUGCCCUGCCUGGGGUUGAAGCGUUAAAACGAAUCAGGCUAGUCUGGUAGUGGCGUGUCCGUCCGCAGGUGCCAGGCGAAUGUAAAGACUGACUAAGCAUGUAGUACCGAGGAUGUAGGAAUUUCGGACGCGGGUUCAACUCCCGCCAGCUCCACCA
RNAcentral lists this transfer-messenger RNA (363 nucleotides) under Salmonella enterica. Its description in RNAcentral is "Standard tmRNA". It matches the Rfam family "transfer-messenger RNA". Rfam says of the family: Bacterial tmRNA, also known as 10Sa RNA or SsrA, is named for its dual tRNA and mRNA-like properties. Its role is to liberate the mRNA from a stalled ribosome. Lineage: Bacteria; Pseudomonadati; Pseudomonadota; Gammaproteobacteria; Enterobacterales; Enterobacteriaceae. The record is from RNAcentral.